AAUUAGUGUGACAUGCCCGUUGGGUGUUAAACUCUGAUGUAUUAUUUAUUAUUUAAUUGUUUGGGAUAACGAGAUGUUACAGCUAGU
MicroRNA precursor from Medicago truncatula (barrel medic), 87 nucleotides. It matches the Rfam family "MIR2617 microRNA precursor family". Lineage: Eukaryota; Viridiplantae; Streptophyta; Magnoliopsida; Fabales; Fabaceae. The record is from Rfam.